Molecule: transfer RNA, 85 nt
Filed under: Clostridiales bacterium
Lineage: Bacteria; Bacillati; Bacillota; Clostridia; Eubacteriales
Description: tRNA-Leu
Rfam family: tRNA
About the family: Transfer RNA (tRNA) molecules are approximately 80 nucleotides in length. Their secondary structure includes four short double-helical elements and three loops (D, anti-codon, and T loops). Further hydrogen bonds mediate the characteristic L-shaped molecular structure. tRNAs have two regions of fundamental functional importance: the anti-codon, which is responsible for specific mRNA codon recognition, and the 3' end, to which the tRNAs corresponding amino acid is attached (by aminoacyl-tRNA synthetases). tRNAs cope with the degeneracy of the genetic code in two manners: having more than one tRNA (with a specific anti-codon) for a particular amino acid; and 'wobble' base-pairing, i.e. permitting non-standard base-pairing at the 3rd anti-codon position.
Source: RNAcentral
GUCGAAGUGGUGGAAUUGGUAGACACGCUAUCUUGAGGGGGUAGUGGGUUAUCCCGUGGGGGUUCGAGUCCCCCCUUCGACACCA